This is a non-coding RNA of Gossypium raimondii (Peruvian cotton), 106 nucleotides long. The record is from Rfam. NCBI's taxonomy places the organism in Eukaryota, Viridiplantae, Streptophyta, Magnoliopsida, Malvales, Malvaceae.
AUACCAUGGUGAGGGCACUUUCAUAAUUCUUCCUUAAAUCGCUCCAAAACCUCAUAAAGAAAUUCUUCAUCAAGUUGUUGAAUCUAGUGAUUUAAUUUCUUAGCUU